UCCAGUUGCUCCAAUACUUCAUAUUGUGGUCUUUUAAAUUUUGGCCAUCUUAAUGGGGAUGUGGUAGACCCUCUUUGUGGUUUUGGUAUGCCUUUGCCUAAUGACUAGUGACGUCCUGCACUUCUCCUUGCUUAGUUGCCAUUGAUCUAUCUUCUUUAGUGACGUAUUUAAGGAUUUAGUCUUCUUAAAAAUUUUAAAGUUUUUUUGUUUUGAAUUAACUAUGGAUUCACAGGUGCGAAGAAAUGUAUGGGGGGGAUCCCUUCUUCCGGUCUCCCCCAGUGUUGACAUCUUGUAUCACUGUAGUACAUGAUCAAAACCAGGAAACUGACAUUGGCACAAAACAUACAGUUCAUUCAGAUUUCUCCAAUCACAUCUCAUGUGCGUGUGUGUGUGUGUGUGGGGGGGGGGGGGUGUGGAUGAUUCUUGUCUAUGCCAUUACAACAAGACUCCAACACACUGCCCCUAUGUACCCACACUUGCCUCCUGCGCUCCCCCACAUCCCUCACCCUGGGCACAUCCCUCACCCUGGGCAACUGCUAAUCUGCUCUUCGUCUCUAUCACUAUGUGAUUUCACAAAUGUUACAUAAAUUGAAUUACAUAGUAUGCACCCUUCUGAGACUGGCUUCUUUCACUCAGUAAAAUUUCUUUGACGAUCA
This is a long non-coding RNA of Herpailurus yagouaroundi (jaguarundi), 656 nucleotides long. RefSeq lists it as uncharacterized. The transcript is spliced from 2 exons. NCBI's taxonomy places the organism in Eukaryota, Metazoa, Chordata, Mammalia, Carnivora, Felidae. The record is from RefSeq and is a predicted model, not a curated record.